This 481-nucleotide ribosomal RNA is filed under the name uncultured bacterium. RNAcentral describes it as "partial 16S ribosomal RNA". It matches the Rfam family "Bacterial small subunit ribosomal RNA", at positions 28 to 523 of the family's 1533-position model. The record is from RNAcentral.
GACGAACGCUGGCGGCGUGCUUAACACAUGCAAGUCGAGCGGAAAGGCCCUUUCGGGGGUACUCGAGCGGCGAACGGGUGAGUAACACGUGAGUAAUCUGCCUCUGGCUUCGGGAUAGCCACCGGAAACGGUGAUUAAUACCGGAUACGACACAUCACUGCAUGGUGCGUGUGUGGAAAGUUUUUUCGGCCAGGGAUGUGCUCGCGGCCUAUCAGCUUGUUGGUGGGGUAAUGGCCUACCAAGGCUUCGACGGGUAGCCGGCCUGAGAGGGUGACCGGCCACACUGGGACUGAGACACGGCCCAGACUCCUACGGGAGGCAGCAGUGGGGAAUAUUGGACAAUGGGCGGAAGCCUGAUCCAGCAACGCCGCGUGAGGGAUGACGGCCUUCGGGUUGUAAACCUCUUUCAGCACAGACGAAGCGCAAGUGACGGUAUGUGCAGAAGAAGGACCGGCCAACUACGUGCCAGCCGCCGCGGUAA